RNAcentral lists this long non-coding RNA (1306 nucleotides) under Homo sapiens (human). RNAcentral's name for it is "HSALNT0291035". The stretch from base 1030 to 1103 matches the Rfam family "Small nucleolar RNA SNORD99". Lineage: Eukaryota; Metazoa; Chordata; Mammalia; Primates; Hominidae. The record is from RNAcentral.
CCGGUGUCGACUUACUAGCUGCAAGCCUCUGCCUGCCUUCCUGCGCGCCGUUCCCCGCUAGUCGCUGCUGCUGGCGCGCACUCGCCGGGUUUUUCCUCCCACGGCCUCGAGAUGGUGGUGAAUGUGGCACGGAGGAGCCGGGCCUUCCAACCCGGUGGGCCCGAGCUCCGAAAGGCCCCCUCGGCAGUGAGAGGGGCGGGAGCCCGCGGGGGCCGCGCCCUUCUCUCGCUUCGGACUGCGCAACGCUGCGCUCUGGGCUGACAGAUUCAUGUUACAUGUAAAGCUGUCCUCAUUUGUGACUAUGGACCUAUGGAGUUGGGUAAGUUAGUGACUACCCAAAGCUUUGUCACAACUUGGUGUGUAGCUGCAGGUAGUGCUCAACUAUCUGGGAUCCUGUCCUAAGUAGUCAACCUAAUAGAACUAUAAGGUUACUUAGGUCUGUGUCAAAGUUACAGCUUUUUUUUUUUUUUUUUUUGAGACAGGGUCUUUCUGUCACCCAGGCUGGAGUGCAGUGGCACAAUCUUGGCUAAUUGCCUCCCAGGUUCAAGUGAUUCUCCUGCCUCAGCCUCCUGAGUAGCUGGGACUAUAAGCACGCACCACUAUGUCUGGCUAAUUUUUGUAUUUUUAGUAGAGACAGGGUUUCACCACGUUGCCCAGGGCAGUCUUGAACUCCUGACCCCAAGUGAUCUGCCUGCCUUGGCCUACCAAAGUGCUAGGAUUACAGGCAUGAACCACUGUGCCGGGCCAGAAAGUCUUAGCAUCUUAGUAACAUUUACAUUUGGCCUCCCUCGUGUGCCCUUAGCUAUUCAUUACCAGAGGGCAAAGAUGGUUAGAACAUGAUUUACCCACCCUAAAAUGCAUUGAAGGCAUCAGAGGGCACCGUGGGCCACAAGGCCUGGUAGCCACAAAUGUUCAGUGGUGGCUGGAGCUCAUGAUGCAUUCUUUGGUGGGACGUCUCUCAGCAUUAGGGAGAGUUGAGAGUGGGGUAGAAACAAGGGGUUCCAUGUAGCACACACUGUAUUUAGAAUGACUGGUCCAGGAUGAAACCUAAUUUGAGUGGACAUCCAUGGAUGAGAAAUGCGGAUAUGGGACUGAGACCAGCUCCUAGGAAAAUGUCUGGGUGGGGGAAAUCUGGGAAUUAGUAACACAAUGGCUUACACUUCCUUUGCAGGACAAUCUCUAUGGGAAGCAGAAGGCAAGGACCCCGGUCAUUUUAGGUAGAAACAACAGCAUGCUAAUGCAAAAAAUUAUGCAGUGUGCUACUGAACUUCAGAGGUGAUCAAUAAAAGAAGAAUAAAAAGACUAA